RNAcentral lists this transfer RNA (85 nucleotides) under Candidatus Moraniibacteriota bacterium. RNAcentral's name for it is "tRNA-Ser". It matches the Rfam family "tRNA". Rfam says of the family: Transfer RNA (tRNA) molecules are approximately 80 nucleotides in length. Their secondary structure includes four short double-helical elements and three loops (D, anti-codon, and T loops). Further hydrogen bonds mediate the characteristic L-shaped molecular structure. tRNAs have two regions of fundamental functional importance: the anti-codon, which is responsible for specific mRNA codon recognition, and the 3' end, to which the tRNAs corresponding amino acid is attached (by aminoacyl-tRNA synthetases). tRNAs cope with the degeneracy of the genetic code in two manners: having more than one tRNA (with a specific anti-codon) for a particular amino acid; and 'wobble' base-pairing, i.e. permitting non-standard base-pairing at the 3rd anti-codon position. The record is from RNAcentral. Lineage: Bacteria; Candidatus Moraniibacteriota.
GGAAGGAUGACCGAGUGGUUGAAGGUGGCAGUCUUGAAAACUGCUGUAUCGCAAGAUACCGUGGGUUCGAAUCCCACUCCUUCCG